AACGCACCUUGCGCUCCUUGGUAUUCCGAGGAGCAUGCCUGUUUGAGUGUCAUUAAAUUCUCAAUCUCUACAACUUUUGUUGUUAGCAGGUUGGAUGUGGGGGUUUAUUGUGGGCAUUACAACCUACUCCCCUGAAAUGAAUUAGCUGGAAUGCCUCGGCAAAUCCAACUAUCAGUGUGAUAAAUAUCUUACUGUGGUUGUUGCUUUUGAGGGUAUCCGCUUCUCAACUGUCUGCAAAGACAACUUGAAUCAUUUUGACCUCAAAUCAGGUAGGACUACCCGCUGAACUUAA
Molecule: unclassified non-coding RNA, 292 nt
Filed under: uncultured Conocybe
Lineage: Eukaryota; Fungi; Basidiomycota; Agaricomycetes; Agaricales; Bolbitiaceae
Description: sequence contains ITS2
Rfam family: 5.8S ribosomal RNA (bases 1-52)
Source: RNAcentral